GGACAAUGAUAUUACCUUCUUAAGUUGUGGUGAAGAUUAAAUAGAUUACACAUAAAAGAUUAACAUAAAGCUUUAAGAGCAGUACUUUGCCCAUAGAAAGCAUUCAAUAACUGACAGCUAUUUUAAUUUUUGUAAUUACUAUCUUCAAUUCAAAUAAGCAGACAUUGCCUGUCUUAAGUUAUUUAACCUAGUCUUCAUCAAUGAAUAUUUAGGUUUUUUCCAUUUUUUGCUACUGCAAACACCAUGAUAAGUUUCCUUGUAUGUGCAAUUUUGUGUACUGUUCAUUAUAGUACAAAUACAAUCAUUGGUAAGUUAAGAAUAUAAACAUUCCCGGGCUUUGUAAUACGUAUUAUCAAAUCUGUCAGAUCGUUCUAAUUAACACUCUCACUAAUGGCCUUAAUCCCUUUACACAUCUUUUGUAGUGGUUAACACAAGGCCAGUGUGUUAGUCAGCUUUCCAUUGAUAUUACAAAAUACCAAGGCAAUAAGCUUGUAAGGAGGAAAUGUUUAUUUAGGCUCAUGGUUUCAGAGGUUCAGCCCAUGGUUACUUAAGCCUGUCAUUUUGGGCCUGUGGUAGAACAUUACUUCAUGACCAGAAGUGCAUAGCAGAGGAAGCUGCUCACAUCAUGACUGUUGGAACAUGGAGAGAGAGAAAUAAGAAGGGGCCAAGGUCCCAAAUCCCCUACAAGAGCUCACCCUAUUGGCCUAACUUCCUUUCACUAGGCCACAACUCUUAAAGUUUCCACCACCUCCCAAAAGCAUCUUGGGCUGGGAACCAAGCCUUUAACACCUGGGCCUUUGGGGGUCGCUCAAGAUCCCAAGAUAUAGCAGCUACAUUCAUAAUUCUUUCUGUUGGGUGUAUUUUUCUCACUGGAUGAAUAUUCAUUAAAUAAAAGACCUGGCACCUCGAGAACCUUAAAUAGUAUAAACAGGAUUUCAUGAUAGCCUGUCCUCCAUUUUCUCCAUCUAUAUGCUGUGUGAGGGCUGGUCCUGGGAGAGCUGGAGUGGCUUGUUCUUACAGGUAUCAGUGAUGUUCGAGGAUGUGGCUGUGCUCUUUACUCAGGAUGAGUGGAAAAAGCUUUAUCCUUCCCAGAGAAGCUCGUACCGGGAGGUGAUACUGGAGAACUAUAGUAACCUGGCCUCACUGGGUAAGGAAAUCCCCUGUGGACACAGUUCAGAAAUUAGACUUCAGCACCUGCUUCCCUGAAUAAAAGCUGUUGGUCAUCAAAAAAGUUUAGCUGAGGUUUGCCUUAUGAUUAUACAAAUCAUAUAUUUGUAAAUAAAUAUUGUGAACAUGUUCCUCUUACUGGUAUAGAAUUGCCUUGUGUUUAGGAAUGGAG
This 1339-nucleotide long non-coding RNA is filed under the name Marmota monax (woodchuck). Lineage: Eukaryota; Metazoa; Chordata; Mammalia; Rodentia; Sciuridae. The record is from RNAcentral.